CGUGUAGGCGGUCCUCUUAAGUCUGGUGUGAAAGCCCGGGGCUUACCCCCGGAAGGGCACUGGAAACUGGGAGGCUAGAGUACCGGAGAGGGAGGGUGGAAUUCCUGGUGUGGCGGUGAAAUGCGUAGAUAUCAGGAGGAACACCGGUGGCGAAGGCGGCCCUCUGGACGGAUACUGACGCUGAGACGCGAAAGCGUGGGGAGCAAACAGGAUUAGAUACCCUGGUAGUCCACGCUGUAAACGAUGGGCACUAGGUGUUCGGGGUAUUGACCCCCUGAGUGCCGCAGCUAACGCAUUAAGUGCCCCGCCUGGGGACUACGGCCGCAAGGUUAA
Molecule: ribosomal RNA, 333 nt
Filed under: uncultured bacterium
Lineage: Bacteria
Description: bacterial SSU rRNA
Rfam family: Bacterial small subunit ribosomal RNA
Source: RNAcentral